RNAcentral lists this ribosomal RNA (500 nucleotides) under uncultured bacterium. RNAcentral's name for it is "partial 16S ribosomal RNA". It matches the Rfam family "Bacterial small subunit ribosomal RNA", at positions 29 to 523 of the family's 1533-position model. The record is from RNAcentral.
AUUGAACGCUGGCGGAAUGCUUUACACAUGCAAGUCGAGCGGCAGCGCGGGGCAACCUGGCGGCGAGCGGCGAACGGGUGAGUAAUGCAUCGGAACAUGUCCAGUCGUGGGGGAUAGCCCGCCGAAAGGCGGAUUAAUACCGCAUACGCCCGGGAGGGGAAAGCGGGGGACCUGAAAGGGCCUCGCGCGAUUGGGUUGGCCGAUGUCCGAUUAGCUAGUUGGCGGGGUAAAGGCCCACCAAGGCGAUGAUCGGUAGCUGGUCUGCGAUGAUGAUCAGCCACGCUGGGACUGUAACACGGCCCAGACUCCUACGGGAGGCAGCAAUGGGGAAUUUUGGACAAUGGGGGCAACCCUGAUCCAGCCAUUCCGCGUGAGUGAAGAAGGCCUUCGGGUUGUAAAGCUCUUUUGUCCGGAGCGAAACGGUUGUGGUGAACAGCCACGACUACUGACGGUACCGGAAGAAUAAGCACCGGCUAACUACGUGCCAGCAGCCGCCGUAA